GGGCCAUAGCUCAGUGGCAGAACAUCUGCUUUUCAUGCAGAAGGUCCCAGUUUCAAACCCCAGCAUCUCCA
Podarcis lilfordi (Lilford's wall lizard) is the source of this 71-nucleotide non-coding RNA. NCBI's taxonomy places the organism in Eukaryota, Metazoa, Chordata, Lepidosauria, Squamata, Lacertidae. The record is from the annotation of a GenBank genome assembly.